Pezoporus flaviventris is the source of this 816-nucleotide long non-coding RNA. RefSeq lists it as uncharacterized. The record is from RefSeq and is a predicted model, not a curated record. The transcript is spliced from 3 exons. NCBI's taxonomy places the organism in Eukaryota, Metazoa, Chordata, Aves, Psittaciformes, Psittacidae.
ACUGCCUACCACCCCUCCGACCUGGAAACAUGUUCCAUCUCCUUCUCCUGCUGGGCAGUAUCCUAUUCAACCAGGGGUUGUGAGUCAGCUGGGGAUGCACAAGAAGUUGGGAAGAGACAGAUGUCUUCAGUAUCUAAAAAGAAAAUACAAAAUUAGAUCAGUAAUGCCAUAGCACUGCUUAUUGCCGGUGGAGCAGGUGAUGCAGAAGGAGGAGAAAAUACAAGUUGACUUCUCAUAGCUCCUGACUGACCCAGGAGAUGCAAAAGCUCAUGAAUUACCACGACAGCUGGUUUGAAAGAAGCCUGUAGCCAUGUUGUGAAAGCAAAUAACUCUUUCAGGUAGCAAAGCUAAAACAAAUAAAUAGUCUCCUCUUAGGUCGCUUUCUGCCCCAGAGAAGCACUGUUUUGCUGCACGUCACCAGCACAGCUUGUCAUUGGCAUAAACAUUUUUUGCCCCUCUAGUUGUGCAGCACCUACAGCAAAUAUUUCUGAUUCAUGGUUAAAGAUUUGAGUCAGUAUGCAGUACAAAUCACAGAAUCCCAGCCUGGUUUGUGUUGGAAGGGACCUUAAAGCUCAUCCAGCUCCAACCCCUGCCACGGGCAGGGACCUCUUCCACUAGAGCAGCUUGCUCCAAGCCCCUGUGUCCAACCUGGCCUUGAGCACUGCCAGGGAUGGGGAGCCACAGCUUCUCUGGGCACCCUGUGCCAGCGCCUCAGCACCCUCACAGGGAAGAGCUUCUGCCUAAGAGCUCAUCUCAGUCUCCCCUCUGGCAGGUUAAAGCCAUUCCCCUUGGCCUGUCCCUACAUCCCUUGUCCCA